This 440-nucleotide ribosomal RNA is filed under the name uncultured bacterium. RNAcentral's name for it is "partial 16S ribosomal RNA". It matches the Rfam family "Bacterial small subunit ribosomal RNA", at positions 338 to 795 of the family's 1533-position model. The record is from RNAcentral.
CCUACGGGUGGCAGCAGUGGGGAAUAUUGCACAAUGGGGGAAACCCUGAUGCAGCAACGCCGCGUGAGUGAUGACGGCCUUCGGGUUGUAAAGCUCUGUCUUCAGGGACAAUAAUGACGGUACCUGAGGAGGAAGCCACGGAUAAGUACGUGCCAGCAGCCGCGGUAAUACGUAGGUAGCGGGCGUUGUCCGGAUUUACUGGGCGUAAAGGGGACGUAGGCGGUUUUUUAAGUGAGAUGUGAAAUGGUUGGGCACAACUUGAGGGCUGCAAUUGAAACUGGAAGUCUUGAGUGCAGGGGAGGGAGGUGGAAUUCGUGGUGUAGCGGUGAAAUGCGUAGAUAGAAGGAAGAACACGGGUGGCGAAGGCGGCUGACUGGCCUGUCGCUGACGUUGAGGCACGAAAGUGUGGGGAGCAAACAGGAUUAGAUACCCUGGUAGUC